CAUAAUCAUUAGUUUUUUAAUUGAAAGCUUGUAUGAAUGGUUAAACAAAAGAAGUUCUGUCUCUUUUUUAAAAAUUGAAUUUAACUUUUAGGUGAAAAGGCUUAAAUUUUUUAAGGGGACGAUAAGACCCUAUAAAGCUUUAUAAUGAAUAACAAUUUUUUGAAAAUAAUUUAUAAAUAAGAUAAAUUAUUCUUUAUUUUAUUGGGGCGAUUUAGAUAAAAAUAAAAUUAACUGUCAGAAUAAAAUACAUAUAUUUAUGAAGUUUAGUUGAUCCUAAUUAAAGAUUUAAAGACAAAGUUACUUUAGGGAUAACAGCGUUAUUUCUUUUGAGAGUUCUUAUUGAAAAAGAAGUUUGCGACCUCGAUGUUGAAUUAAAAUAUCUUUACAGUGUAGCCUUUGUAAGAA
This 405-nucleotide ribosomal RNA is filed under the name Picroceroides tubularis. RNAcentral describes it as "partial 16S ribosomal RNA". Lineage: Eukaryota; Metazoa; Arthropoda; Malacostraca; Decapoda; Majidae. The record is from RNAcentral.